UCUCAUCUCCUCUUCUCCCUACCCCGCCUUUCUUUCUGGUCUGCAGAGUGGGGAGAGCCAGAGUUUGAUCUCAGAGCAGAAAGAAUCCACAAAACCACCCACAGAGCCUAGAAGAAAUGCGCUGGAACAAAGUGUUUCUUAGCCACUCGCUCAGGAGAGUGAUCAGAACCUGACACCCGCUCCAGUCCGUGCGUUCAUAUCCUUUUGUUGCAGAAGACCAAGUUCUGACCAGCAGGUAUUGUGAGGUCCGAUCCAGGGCAUCGCUUAGCAAAGCCGAGAGCUUCUGCGCCCUCCCUACUACCUUUCACUCGGCUAAGUGACAUUUGGGGGCUGCUGGGGAAACAGCUCACUCUCUGACUCUGAGACUCAGAACCCAGUGUCUGAGAAGUGCCAUCCAGAACCCCUCCUGGUCUUCUAGAGGCGUCCAUUGGUUCUUAACAUUCUGGGCCCCCCCCCCGGACCUCCACCUACCUGGUCUGGGUGUCCAAGGACGGAGCCUCCAGCCUAGCUUUGGGAGGCCAAACGUCUCCCUUGGUCUCUGUCCCAAAAGCCACUUCCAAGCCUUCCUGAGAGUGUGAUGCCCCCCUAAGAUCUGCUGCCCCCAGCACUUCUCCAGUGUCCAUACGUGACAUGGCCAUAGGCGAGGCCCCAUGCAUUUUGUUCUCCACUAUUUAAACACAUUCACUGAAGUUGUCCAUUGCCUAUCAUCUCGAAGCCAAGAAAACACAGAGUUUCUCCUGACCUGCUGGAGGGGUAGUCGCUACUGCAGAGCUGAACCCUAGGACAGAGUCUUCAGAGGAACAAUCAUCUCUCCCUUCUCUGCUUCUAUGCCUGGGACAGAUUUCCACUGAUGCACGCUGAAUACCUCAAGAUGUGGUCUGUUUACAUGUCGGGGUCCUCACUGGAGUCCAGUCCUCUAGGGCAAGUAUGCAUCUUUUCAUCUUAUAUCCCUGGUGCCCACCGCUGAAAUUUCAUUGAAACGCAUGUUGCUGAAACGGUUGUCGAAAAGCAGUAUAGUGUGGGGGUGAAGUCAGAAAGCCUGAGAUCACAUUCCCAGCUCCACUGCUUGCCAGCCACACAGCCUUCAGAGAAGUCAUUUAAAUGUUCUGUGCCUCCGUUUCCUCAUCUGUAAAAUGGGACAAAAAGAGCAUCUGCCUCGUAAAGUUAUUGUGAGGGCUGAAUGGGUCAAUAACAUAUCUAGUCCACAAUGCACCGGGGUUUUAGAUCCAACAAGGAAAGAAGAGACAAUCUGUGACACAAUGCUUUAUAUCAACGUCAGAGAUGUUUUAAAAUGUUUUAAAUGUCUACAUAAAACCCUUAGAGGGGUGCCUGGGGGGCUCAGUCGGUUAAGCACCCCUCCCCCGCUCAGCGGGGAGUCUGCUUCUCCCUCUGCCUCUCCUCCUUGCUCAUGCUCUCUCUCUCUCUCUCUCUUUCUCUCAAAUAAAGAAAAUUAAAUUAAAAUAAAAACACUUACAAGAGUAGCUAUCUAAGUGAAAGCCACUGCCAUUGCUGAAAUGCAUUCUCACAAAAGCCCCAUGAGGAGUGAGUUAAUCCUCACUUUACAGAUGAGGAAACAGAUGUCUUCAGAGAGCUGAAGGAGCUUGACCAAGCUCACAGGGCCGCGGAAUGCUCCGGAGGCAUUUAAAACCUGCCUUUGAGGUGCAAUAACCUACAGUUAUUACAAUAGCUGGCAGUCGCCCACCACCACGCUCAGCUACCAGGAGUUAGGAGCUGGGUUUUGUUCUCAAUUGCAUUAGCUUUCCUUAAUCUAAAUUUCUUCCCCCUCUGGUAUAAUAACUCUGCUUCUUCCUCCCCCUCCUCCUUUGUACUUGGCUCCGAUCUUGUUACUUUUCUGCUAAUGGCUUCAGUUUCUACUGUAUCUGCGAUUUGAAUCGAAAGCGACCUCAGAUCUUUUAUGGAGGUAGGAGGGGCAUCAAUAAAGGUCAAAAUUAGCUUUUAAAGAUGACGCGGAGCAAGAAUACGGCCACGAUCACACGUGGGGAUGUGUACGCGGACCCCCCCCCCCAGGGACUGCCCACGGCACUGCCCCCAGUACUGCCCCAGAGCCGUUCUGAUGCUCGGGGUCCUGAUACAGUGCCCAGCUCAGCAGGCCGCCUCGAGCUGGCGAUCUGUCACACCAGACUCUGUUUUCUCCUAUAACCCACUGAGACAUUACAGAGUGGAAAGGUAGAGGAGCUUGGGAAGUUACAGGGACUGGAGGCAGGGAACUUUUCUAGGACCUUCUCUGGCUCUCCUUGGUACUGCCCCCCCCCAAGAAGCAUGUACUUGAAAGAGUGUAAGUUUCUAGCUCACUAUUGCAGUGAGUCUGAGGCAAGGGAAAGCACCCCAUUAGCUCCAAACACAGCAACGUAAAAGGUGUGUCGCUGUUUUCAACAUCAGAAAGGGAACCCCUAAGAUGUAUUUUGUCUGGGGUUUUGUGGUCUCCCCACAACCCUCGUGGCAGCCCAGGAUUCACAGGUGUCAAGGUCACAGAAAGAUGCCGCUUGCCACUUCAGCCCACCAUUUCCCCACAGGAGGAACCCAAGUAUUCGACCUCUUCUGCCCAGCUCAUAAUACUCACAUGAUAAGGGUAAUAGAAGAUAAUGGAUAGAACAGGGCCUGGUAUUGUACGGGGGUUUUGCUUCCCAAGUCGGGAGGCCACGGGCCGGCUCAAGAGUCAUGUUUGUGAAUUUGCUUGGGUUUUUCAGGAUGGGAUCAGGGUGGAGAGGGCUUUUCUGAAACUUCUCUCAACUCUCCCACAUGCCCUGAGACCUGUCUGAGCAGAGCAGAGCCGAAAGCUGGGUGAGCAAGGCAGUUUGAGAAGGACGACUGCACAGGGAGCUUUGCCACGGGAAGCAGGGGGAACACGCCAUCCCUCAGUACCCCUGAAUGGAGCCUACUGUUCUUCCUCCAAGCCUGAAUAAAAUGUAUUCUAUGCUCGGAUCCACCAGACAAAGAAGGAAUAUAUCAACAAAGGCGGGGAAAGUCAAAAAUGGUUGUUCAGCGAUUCAUUCACGUACGUGUAGUUCAUCUCCAAGGCUUCCGAGAAAGCAGCUGCGCCCCAAAUCCCUUCCGACACUGUCUGCACCUAAGCCUCCUAUGAGAUAAUCCUCUUAAUGGAAUAUUUAAGAAAUCGGAUAUAAAUCACCAGCCUUUUAUCUCACCUGAAGAUCUAUACUCCAUAGGGCGGAUGGCGUGUAUGUCUAUCUACAUAUGGAUGGUUGCAGGUGCCUUUGGUCAGAGUCAACCCUGGUAAGGUCUCAGCUUCUGUGAUUCUCCCUCCAGACUUGUAGGGAGGAACAGCCGUAAGAAGGAGAUCAUAGUUUCCCGAGUUGGCUGUACGUGGGAAAGAGAUUUCUCGUAAAACACAGGCAAGAAAGAACAUUUUAUUUCUCUUCCCUAAACCCACAGGAAAAGAGCCAUCUGUACAACAGCCCAUACUGCUCUCUUGCCAUUCUGAGGGUCUCCAACUUGCAUUCUCUGCCUAGACUGCGAGGCAUCAUGUCCAGGGCGGGGAUCUUGGGGCCUCACAGACACCUGUUGAGUUGACUAGAGACGUCACACAGGGAGAGGUGGGGCUGGGGAGCAGACCUCAGCUCUCUCCUGGCCCCCACACUGCCUGCACACUUGCACAUAGCACUGUGUCUUUUGAAAGCCCAAUGAAAAGCAGGUCAAGGGCAAGCCCCAGCAAGCCCAAUUGUCCAGGCCUCCGAGUCCUGUCAUUAUGCCAUGUCCCUACCCCAGUUUGCUUCCUCGAGGCUUUUCCUGACUUGCUCCAGAAAUAAAGGAUGAAUUCCAACUUUUAAUAAGGAAAAUACUGUUCUCCUUUGCCAGCAUCCUAUCCCCCCGCCCCACCCCCUCCAAAACAAAAUCGCACUUUCUUGUCGUUUUCCAUCUUGCAACUCUGUCAGUUGUUUUAAAACAACUGUUUUAAAACAUGUCUCCUGUCACAAAUAAGAUUGUCAUCAUGCAUUUUGACUGCAGUGGUGAAAAAUUCACCCAGCUUGGAGAGAGGAGAGGGACCUCGGAGAGCCCCUUGAGGCCUGCCGCAGGACAGGAAUGAACGAGAGGAAAAGCAGACUGUGUCUACUCAUGGUUUUGAAAUGUAGUUCUUCUGGCUGUGGCUGUUUGGGUUGUUUGGGGGUUUUUUUGUUCAGUCAUUUGCUCAC
Molecule: long non-coding RNA, 4169 nt
Organism: Ailuropoda melanoleuca (giant panda)
Lineage: Eukaryota; Metazoa; Chordata; Mammalia; Carnivora; Ursidae
Exons: 3
Source: RefSeq, a predicted model, not a curated record